CCCGUGGUAUACCCUGGUGAAGACAGCUUGUCUGUUGAAACGUUGAUUAUAUUAUUCCAUCUGAGCUCAUAGAUUGUGCAGCUCUCCUUUUUCAUAAAUUCUGAUAUACCAUGGCUGUAAGCCAAUCAGCACCCAGUUUAUAAUAAUGUAUAGCUUCUGUCUUACAUCACCACGGCAUUAGACCAGGGGCCAAAAGUGUGACACCAAUCAGGCUCCGAGAACUGGAGUUGCCCAUCCCUGCCUUAUACUAGAAUGCAACUACUUACAACAAGCCUACACAGCGGAACACUAAACUAACCUUUCGUGUGCUAAAUGUCUGUCUGUUGCGCGUUGGCUCAAUAACUUAUUUUCAGUCAACGAAAGCAAUACAAUACUUUCAUGUAUAGGACAAACGUAUUAAUGACCAAUAAAGAAACAUUCUUUCUCCGACUAGAAAUACGUGUUAUCGAUCACACUAGGCGAGCAUAUUCUAUUCAGAAGGGAGUGUGUGACUUGUAUGCACACUUAAAUGUCUUGUGCACGCAUGGCUCAGAUUGCCCCACCCAUCUCAUGUGUCUAUAGGCUGGCCAGGCUUCCUAUAUAGCUUGAUACGUGAACAUCGUGCGCUUGUACUCCCUCCCUGGGCACAUUUCAACCAGCUCAACCCCGAGCACAGCUGCCUGCAGGUUCUGAGAAAUGGUGUCGGGUCCAAAACCAGACCAGAUGUUAGUUCUGAUCUGGAUGGGUUUGUCUGUAACGAGACUAGACUACACGGGAUAUGACCAGAUCAGGAAGACUGGGUUUGUUCAUAGUCCUCGCCUCAGGUCUCCAGACCAGACCUGCAUCAACACACCACUGCCCAAAGAAACCAACCCCAGAUCUACUACAGACAUGAUCAUCAGACUGGGCAGGCUGACCCCUGGAUACUUCCGCCUCCUACAGAGACAGGUGGCCGGUGAGGUGCAGACCCAGCCACAGGACCGCGCGGUCAACCAGAUAGCCAUGAUGCUGGCCAUCAUGGGCCUGAGCCUGUCCUACUACAGUGCCAAACGGAUGACCGAGAAGGUCCAGAGGCUCCAGAAGAGAAGAGAUCCCCAUACACCCUGAAGAGACCCCUCCCCCCAGUGCGCCGGUCCUCUUUGAACCUGGAGAGAAGACGAACCAACGCGAAAACGAGGAGAGGAGAGUUGACAGUGUCGGUGUCCAGAACAACACCUUUUCACAACCAAUCAGUCAUAGUCACGUCGUUCAGACACUGGAGUUUUACUGGGAUCACUCUCAAUGCGAGGAGAGUUCGGGGUCUGCUGUUGUUAAGGGUAUCUUAAUUUUUCACCCCAAUGGAUGUUGGGAGGACCUUGUGGGGGAGUGUGUAUGUGGGAAAGGCUGACGGUGGGGUUCGUGUGGUCCUGAUAAAGUUUGGGGGGUAAAAAGUACAACCAUCUGUCUAUGGUCAGGCUGGGCCCGUGCUUCAGUCGUUGCCAAGGUACAUGCGUGCAGGAUGCCGUCAAUACUGUUCUGAGCUAAAAAGGAUAAAGAAAUGCUAAACUAAUUAUUCUAAUGUACUGUGAAUCUCUUGCCAGUGCUCCAAGUAUAUGACAGCUUGUCUAAAAUAACUGAGCGGUAAUUAUUUUUGAGGGAAUGCUUUCUGCAUUUGAGAUGUAUCUAGUAAUGACUGAAGGUGGGCCUGUAGUGUGGCUGAAAGUGGGGAGAAAGGAACCCUCUUAGGUUUUUGUAAUUCCUUUAUUGUUAAAAAAAAUUAAAGUGAGCCAUGUGAACUAGAUGUGGAGGAGUCUCAAACUGGUCAAUAAUUCCACACAUGUUCAAUAUCUGUUAAUGUCAGACACAAACAACCGUACAUUACUGGUGAAAUGCAGUAUUUUAACGUUUUGGGAAGUUGCUUAUCCAAAUCUACGAAGAAAAAAAAGGCACGUAAAUCAGUCUUGAUAAAAAUGGGUGGCUUUCUUUUAAAGAACUCGAUCUGCAAUAGCUACUAGGUGUUACCACAAAUAUUCUAACUUCAGUAAACGUUGCAUGGGUAUGCAGCUUUUAAUAUCUUCGUUAAUACUGUCACGUUUUAGUUUUUUAAAGGACGAUGACCAUGAAUGUAUAUUUCUGUGAUGUUUUAUAGAAAUCGAAUAAAGCUGUGACUUGAAUAAUAAGAACCGUGGCAGUUUAGUAAUGAUUUUAAGGUGUUUGGGAAUUUUGGAAAAACCGACGUGAACAAGCAUUUUAUCACAAUAUUUAUAUUUUGUUAAGGGGAACUUCUUUAAUCUCUAAAUUUUUCUGUGAAACGAUGAUAUUGCCCCACCAUUUCAGCUCAAUAGCUGCUUGGUUGGAUUUGGCAUAAUAGACUCUGUAGCACCACUUCCUGUAUCAUAGGGUGUCUGGUGUCCGCAGGAGCGUGCCGUCUGCACGCAACAGGAAGUGUUCAGGCCUCCAGACAGUCGUUGUCUUCAUCAUAACUGGGGCAUCUGUAUCUGUCUGUAGUCUGUACCAGUUUGCCCUCAGGGAAAGUCGCAGGGCAAAGUUUUAAUCUAUACCGAACAAAAAUAUAAACGCAAUAAUUUCAAUGAUUUUACAGUUCAUAUAAGGAAAUCGGUUUAUUGAAAGAAAAUUGCCCCUAAUCUAUGGAUUUCACAUGACUGGGCAGGGGUGCAGCCAUGAGUGGGCCUGGGAGAGCAUAGGCCCACCCACUUGGGAGACUGGCCCAGCCACUGGCAGCCAGGCCCAGCCACUGGCAGCCAGGCCCAGCCAAUCAGAAUGAGUUUUUCACCACAAAGGGCUUUAAUGCAUACAGAAAUACUCCUCAGUUUCAUCAGCUGUCCGGGUGGCUGGUCUCAGACGAUCCCGCAGGUGAAGAAGCCAGAUGUGGAGGUCCUGGGCUGGCAUUGUUACACGUGGUCUGCGGUUGUGAGAUCGGUUGGAUGUACUGCUAAUUCUCUAAAAUGACGUUGGAGGCGCCUUAUAGUAGAGAAAUUAACAUUAAUUUAUCUGGCAACAGCUCCGGUGGACGUUCUUGCAGUCAGCAUCCCAGUUGCACGCUCCCUCAAAACUUGAGACAUCUGUGGCAUUGUGUUGUGUGACAAAACUGCACAUUUUAGAGUGGCCUUUUAUUGUCCCCAGCACAAGCUGCACCUGCGUAAUGAUCAUGUUUAAUCAGCUUCUUGAUAUGCCACACCUGUCGGGUGGAUGGAUUAUCUUGGCAAAGGAAAUAUGCUCACUAACAGGGAUGUAAACAAAUUUGUCCCCAAAAUUUGAGGUAAAUACGCUUUCUGUGCAUUUGGAAAGUUUCUGGGAUAUUUUAUUUCAGCUCAUGAAACAUGGGACCAACACUUUACAUGCUGUGUUUAUAUUUUUGUUCAGUAUGUUUUGCUUUUACUGUCAGACAGUUUAUUAAUACAGAAAAUCAGUCAAAUCUGAAUUGUUACUGUAUGUUCUCCAAUGGCACUCAUUUUAGAACGUGUACAGAUUAUAAAUCCUGAGGGUUGGAGGAAGACUCAUGCACUGGUUAAACAUCAGCGCCAUUCUGAGGCCCUCCCUUGUCUGUUCCAUGUUCUCUACAGAAUGUUCUCUUCUAUAGCUGGGUAGACUGUAUAGAAGCUAUGCAUCUGAGGUACUUCUAGCAUGACCAUGUUAGGGAGGGUGAGAGGAUAGAGUAGUGGUGACUGGUGAGGACUUCAGAUAAGAGGGACGGGGGUUGAAAGCUGUUUGUGUAUGGCUUGUUGAUUCACCAGUCCAGUUCUUUAUACAGGUUAUUUUGAAGAAUGCUGAAGUCUUGUCAGUACUAAAUAAGAAAAUUGUUGGAAUGGCACACUCGUGAGUUGGUACAAUGGAUCUAAGGAAUAGUUUAUUUCCUCAUUGUCUUCCUUUAGAGUUUAGGAAGAUGAGUAUAAAGGAGAUAGAUAUUGAGCUCUGAAAAAAUAUAUAAGUUAUAAGAAUGUUUUCAUGAUCGAAGGAUCAUUGCUUGCUUUUAAGUGAUGUUUGUCAGAACUAGGAUAAAGUAUGUCUAGUGUUAGAAUGUUCAAUGUUGAGUGGUAUGGAAUUUGUGUUCAAAUAGUUAUAUGAAUAGGUUUAACCUGUCGCAUAAUAGAGAAGUCUGAAUUGUACUUGUUUUGGUUGGCUUUUGGAAACCAGUCUGAUAGAUUAGCCCCAAGCCACCAAUAGCAAUAAUGAAACUGUUAGCACUUUUAGCAGUAGACAUAAUAUUGUCGAUUUCCCUCCGAAUUAUCUUCAGUCAGGCGGAUAGCUUGAUCAACUGGGGAUCACACCAAAAUCGCUUUGUUUAUUCAUCGCGAGCCCAGAG
RNAcentral lists this long non-coding RNA (4282 nucleotides) under Salmo salar (Atlantic salmon). RNAcentral's name for it is "lncRNA (ENSSSAG00000102241.1, ENSSSAG00000106730.1)". The record is from RNAcentral. Lineage: Eukaryota; Metazoa; Chordata; Actinopteri; Salmoniformes; Salmonidae.